This 91-nucleotide transfer RNA is filed under the name Mycolicibacterium smegmatis. RNAcentral describes it as "tRNA-Val(aac)". RNAcentral also lists the same sequence under 1 other name. The record is from RNAcentral. Lineage: Bacteria; Bacillati; Actinomycetota; Actinomycetes; Mycobacteriales; Mycobacteriaceae.
ACCUGAUAGAACAGGCAACAGUUCCGGCGGCGGAACCGGCCGUCGGUGACGUCGGCGGUGCCGAGCAGCGGUUCGGCCGCGAUCAUGUCCC